Long non-coding RNA from Pan troglodytes (chimpanzee), 1030 nucleotides. The record is from Ensembl. Lineage: Eukaryota; Metazoa; Chordata; Mammalia; Primates; Hominidae.
CAGCAGCUGGGCAGGGCAUUGUGAACUGUGGGAUAGGGCAGCCGGGUGGGGCAUUGUGAGCCACAUGCCUGGGAUCCCCUGGGUCAGUGGGCUUCAGUCUGGAGGUGAUUGCAGAAGGAGGAGCAGCUCCCUUUGUUGUCUCUUCAGGCAGUUGUAGUGUCUCUUCAGUGUUUGUUGGGUUCACAACCUAUUUAAAAGCCAGCUGGUCUUCACCCUCCCAGACAAGUCAGCUCAAGGGAGGCGGUGGGGUGCAGGCCUUGGCCUGAGCCCCACCCAAGGCUGAGCUGUGGGGCAGGCAGGAGAGCAGGAGGCAAGACCAUCUCUGCAGGCGCAGUGAAGCCCUGGCCUAGAGCAGCAGGUGUGAGAGGCCAAACCUGCAAGCUAAGGCACAGGUAGUGGCAGAGAGGAGUAGAGGCCCCCCAUGGGGAACACAUUGAACUGCUGUGUGUGCCCCAAGUGGGGCUGGCACCGGGGGCGUGUGUGGCCCUGUGAGCCUGAGAUCUGUGAGGCAGUAAAUGGGAACACAUUGAACUGCUGUGUGUGCCCCAAGUGGGGCUGGCACCGGGGGCGUGUGUGGCCCUGUGAGCCUGAGAUCUGUGAGGCAGUAACUGGGAACACAACGCCAGUAGCACCAGUGCCUGCUGCUGUAGAGCCUACUGAAUUUGCUUUUGAAGCUGUUGAGAGCCUCCAUGUACACCACAUCCAUGACCAAGAGAUGCCAGAAGAUAGAGCUUUGGAGCCAAACCCUUCUGAUGAUCCAAGGGCAAGCACAAUCUUCUUGCAAAAAUCUCAAACAUAUGUUCAAGAAAAGAGAAAGAGCAACCACAUGAACCAUGUAUCUACUAAGCAUUUUACUAAAAAGUACAGCUCGUGUUCAACCAUAUACCUAGAUGACAGCACAGCCAGCCAGCCUCAUCUUACAACCAUAGUAAAAUCCAAGAAAAGAUGCCAAAGGAAUACUUUGAGUAUGUUCCUGAACACAAGUUUAUUUACAGAUUUGUCCAUGUUCUUUUUAAAGCCACAAACCUAA